This is a long non-coding RNA of Pyrus x bretschneideri (Chinese white pear), 670 nucleotides long. RefSeq lists it as uncharacterized. The transcript has 2 exons. NCBI's taxonomy places the organism in Eukaryota, Viridiplantae, Streptophyta, Magnoliopsida, Rosales, Rosaceae. The record is from RefSeq and is a predicted model, not a curated record.
ACUUGUCCCAGAUUUAUAUUUUCUCUCUCAAAAUAUCGUUCUUUACUGCGAAUCCUCAAUCAUCUACUUGUUCUACUCAACACUCAACUCAUUGGGUGCUUCCUUCGAAAAUCACGUCUGACAACACAUCUUAGUGGUUGGUAGCUUUUAUAGUGCAAUUUGCAUUAUUUGGUAUGAUUAUGAGAGGACGAGUGCGUGUGGCUUAUCUACCCAGUUUUCCAUUCAUCCAUUUGGUUCAUUGGUUCUUCUUCUAGGUGGUGACGACUUUGUAGUGGUGGUGCAGUUGGUAUGGUGGAGACGGCCAUUUCCUUUUUCAUAUAUAAGGGAAAAAACCAGAAGUGGUAUCGAAGGCGGAGGAUAAAGAAGGUACCCCACUACUUAUCUAUAUGGAAGAGCCGAUUCUGUGGUGGAGGAGAUGAAUUUUUCACUCAAGCUUGAACUUGUCUAGAAUUUUAUGUUUUAUUUUGCUUUCUAGUUUGUUGUUUCUUCUCAAAAGCCUACAAUCAUUAUUAUUUAAGUUAAGUUAUUUCCUGCCACUUAGUAGUACGAUCUGCUGGUAUUUCUAUUUACUUGUAAGUAAAAGGUUUUAGGUUUGAUUCUUGCUAAAGGCGAAUUUGAAUCACAUUAUUGUUAGUUCAUUAUGAGAUUAAACUCACCUCCUCCUCUUUAA